Molecule: ribosomal RNA, 755 nt
Filed under: bacterium enrichment culture clone SC-1_36
Lineage: Bacteria
Description: partial 16S ribosomal RNA
Rfam family: Bacterial small subunit ribosomal RNA
Source: RNAcentral
GACGCUCAUGCACGAAAGCGUNNGGAGCAAACAGGAUUAGAUACCCUGGUAGUCCACGCCCUAAACGAUGUCUACUAGUUGUCGGGUCUUAAUUGACUUNNNAACGCAGCUAACGCGUGAAGUAGACCGCCUGGGGAGUACGGUCGCAAGAUUAAAACUCAAAGGAAUUGACGGGGACCCGCACAAGCGGUGGAUGAUGUGGAUUAAUUCGAUGCAACGCGAAAAACCUUACCUACCCUUGACAUGUCAGGAACCUCCGAGAGAUCGGAGGGUGCCCGAAAGGGAGCCUGAACACAGGUGCUGCAUGGCUGUCGUCAGCUCGUGUCGUGAGAUGUUAGGUUAAGUCCCGCAACGAGCGCAACCCUUGUCAUUAGUUGCUACGAAAGGGCACUCUAAUGAGACUGCCGGUGACAAACCGGAGGAAGGUGGGGAUGACGUCAAGUCCUCAUGGCCCUUAUGGGUAGGGCUUCACACGUCAUACAAUGGUACAUACAGAGGGCCGCCAACCCGCGAGGGGGAGCUAAUCCCAGAAAGUGUAUCGUAGUCNNGAUCGCAGUCUGCAACUCGACUGCGUGAAGUUGGAAUCGCUAGUAAUCGCGGAUCAGCAUGCCGCNNNNNNNNNNNUCCCGGGUCUUGUACACACCGCCCGUCACACCAUGGGAGCGGGUUUUACCAGAAGUAGGUAGCUUAACCGCAAGGAGGGCGCUUACCACGGUAGGAUUCGUGAUUAAGGGGAAGUCGUAACAAGGUAACCA